RNAcentral lists this transfer RNA (76 nucleotides) under Undibacterium sp. Its description in RNAcentral is "tRNA-Thr". It matches the Rfam family "tRNA". Rfam says of the family: Transfer RNA (tRNA) molecules are approximately 80 nucleotides in length. Their secondary structure includes four short double-helical elements and three loops (D, anti-codon, and T loops). Lineage: Bacteria; Pseudomonadati; Pseudomonadota; Betaproteobacteria; Burkholderiales; Oxalobacteraceae. The record is from RNAcentral.
GCCAGCUUAGCUCAUCCGGUAGAGCACUUGAAUAGUAAGCAAGAGGUAGGGGGUUCGAUUCCUUCAGCUGGCACCA